This 464-nucleotide ribosomal RNA is filed under the name uncultured bacterium. RNAcentral describes it as "partial 16S ribosomal RNA". It matches the Rfam family "Bacterial small subunit ribosomal RNA", at positions 339 to 795 of the family's 1533-position model. The record is from RNAcentral.
CUACGGGCGGCAGCAGUGGGGAAUAUUGCACAAUGGGGGAAACCCUGAUGCAGCCAUGCCGCGUGUGUGAAGAAGGCCUUAGGGUUGUAAAGCACUUUCAAUGGGGAGGAAAAGUUAGUAGUUAAUAGCUGCUAACCCUGACGUUACCCAUAGAAGAAGCACCGGCUAACUUCGUGCCAGCAGCCGCGGUAAUACGAGGGGUGCAAGCGUUAAUCGGAAUUACUGGGCGUAAAGCGCGCGUAGGCGGUUGCCUAAGCUAGAUGUGAAAGCCCCGGGCUCAACCUGGGAACUGCAUUUAGAACUGGGCAACUAGAGUACAGCAGAGGAGUGUGGAAUUUCAGGUGUAGCGGUGAAAUGCGUAGAGAUCUGAAGGAACAUCAGUGGCGAAGGCGACACUCUGGGUUGAUACUGACGCUGAGGUGCGAAAGCGUGGGGAGCAAACAGGAUUAGAUACCCGGGUAGUC